RNAcentral lists this long non-coding RNA (2240 nucleotides) under Paramuricea clavata. Lineage: Eukaryota; Metazoa; Cnidaria; Anthozoa; Malacalcyonacea; Plexauridae. The record is from RNAcentral.
CUGGGUUUUCCUCUAAGUUAAGUCGCUCUAACGGUGAAGAUAGUUGAUAUUCUGAUAAGGGUUCAAGAAAAGCUGUAUUUAUUCUGUUUGCUAGUUCUUGUUCCGAUAUAUCUUCAAAACCAGCGAUAUUUAUCAAAUUUAUUAGGGAGCUGUUCAUUGAUUUCAUUCCUCCUAGGCGUUUGAUUUCACUCCACCAAGUUUUAGGGUUAUCUUUUUCUUUACUGUGAACCUGGGUCGUAUAGUAUUUUGAUUUACACGCUUUUCUCUCGCGAUUGACAAUAUUUCGGUAAUAUUUAAAGCAGUUGGAUUUUGGACCGUAACUGAAAAAGGCUUCUUGUCUUUUUUUUAUAAAUGUUUUCAAUUUAUCGGUCAUCCAAGGAACAUCUGCGGAGAUUUUCUUAAUCCGUUUAAUUGGCAUGAGGAGGUCAAGACCAAUAGCUACAAUGUCAUAAAAAAAAUUCGCCAUAUCUUCACAGCUUUGUGAUUGAGCAAAAAUUUCAGGCCAAAGGAUUGAUUGUAAAAAUCUCCCCAUGGCAUCUUUCUUACUCUGACGAAGGUCUCGUUUGUAUACAAAUGUAGAUUUUGCUUUCUUCACAAUGUGAGUGGGUGAAACUACAACUGUGUUGUGAUCAGAUAAUCCAAUUGGAGGGAGUAUUUGCGGAGACUUGUAGAACUCGUGCAUAUUAGUUAAUAUAAGAUCAAGUAUUGCUUCGCCUCGAGUUGGUGAUUUAACUAUUUGUUUCAACCGAAAAUGCUUAAUUAUAUGAUUCACAUUAAGACGAUUGAAAUCCCCAGCAAUGAUAAUACCGCAGUUGUAAAAUUUUGCUUCGACUUCGCUCAGUGUCUGAAAUAAGUGACUCUGCAUGCUGAAAUCGUCGGCACUGGGGGGGGUGGUAUAGGACGGCAACUAUGAUUGAGGAAAAUUCACGAGGAAGUCGUCUAGGUUUUAAAUGAAGCCAUAAGAUUUCGUGUUCGGAACAACAUGAAAUUUCUGAAAGGAUUUUGAGUUUCGUAUCACCGUCUCUGAUAUAAAUACAGAUUCCGCCAUGGUUGUUUAUAGAUCUAUCUUUGCGUAUGAUUGUAAACCCAGGUAUACUUACAACGCUAUCUGUAAUUGAGUCAUUGAGCCAAGUUUCAGUUAGAAAGGAUAAGUUUAUCUCAUUUUCCAUCAUGAAUUCGCGGACUUCGUCUAUUUUAGGGGCCAAAGAUCUCACAUUAGUCACCAUUAAUUUUGGAAUAAAAUUACUAAUCCUCUGUUUUAAUGUAGUGGUAUUAAGUUGAUGGAGUUCUGUAGUAAGGGGCUUACAUGGCAGUGUACAGUUAUUUGGAAAUUCAACAGAUUCGUUUAAUAAUGACUGGGUGGUCUUGUUGGGUUGUCCAUCAGGGGAGGCAUAUAAGGGUAAUUUACAUGGGGAUAAAAAAAAGGGUGUCUCAUAGUAUUUAGGUGACUUUGAAAAUGAUACGGAGUUUGUCCGUAAAACGGGGGUGGAAAAAAUUGUUGUUGGUAUGGUUGAAAGGACUGUUGUGGUUUAGCGUGGGAGAAAUCACAUUUCAAACCCUUCAGGCAAUGACCCUUUCUGCGUAAGAAGGGACAUGGAACGUGAGAUUUAGGGUUUUUUGUGUGUCGGGGGAACCUAUCUUGGUAUGGUGCGGGUAUUUCGUUCCUACCCGCAAUUUCUUCUGAAACAUUAUCGGUUCCAGCGUUAUUUAGAUUUGCCGCGCCAACGUUGUUUUGAUCAGAUAUCUCGAUUAUACUAAUGUCGGGGGCGUUGGGAUUAGUCGUUUCAUUAAUUUCUUUUGUUUGGGCGUGAGUUAAAAUAUGCAUAUCAGUGGCAGGUUUGCCAUUUCGAUUUUUAACUAACUUUCCCCCAUUUUCAACUGAUUUUUCACCUUUACUCUGGCCCAUAAACUCAACUAAUUGUUCAACAGUUUGAGACAAAGUUUGUAUAAUUUCUCUGUUGAUUUCUUGACCCGAUUUUAGUUCCUCAAAGUCGAAAACAACAUCAGCACAUGGACAGAACGACUGCCGCGGGGUAUCUACAUUCGUCUGGCAUAACAUGUCCGAGCUAACUACAUUUUUAACACUUGAAUGUAGACUAUUCAAAAUCUUUUUACAUAAAUGUUGAUACACUUUACCCAUUUCGUCGCCUUCAAUCUGCAAGAGACCUUUGCCUUUUCUCCACGAGAUCAAACUGUCAUUAAACUUAAACACCUUUUUGUCGCCGCCGGGAUGUUCCCAA